Molecule: ribosomal RNA, 253 nt
Filed under: uncultured bacterium
Lineage: Bacteria
Description: partial 16S ribosomal RNA
Rfam family: Bacterial small subunit ribosomal RNA
Source: RNAcentral
UACGAAGGGGGCUAGCGUUGUUCGGAAUUACUGGGCGUAAAGCGCACGUAGGCCGCACGGUAAGUCAGAGGUGAAAUCCCGGAGCUCAACUUCGGAAUUGCCUCCGAUACUGCCGUGCUUGAGGACUGGAGAGGAGAUUGGAAUUCACAGUGGAGCAGUGAAAUGCGUAGAUAUUGUGAGGAACACUAGUGGCGAAGGCGAAUCUCUGGACAGUUCCUGACGCUGAGGCACGAAGGCCAGGGGAGCAAACGGG